RNAcentral lists this ribosomal RNA (429 nucleotides) under Actinomycetes bacterium. Its description in RNAcentral is "Actinobacteria bacterium partial 16S ribosomal RNA". It matches the Rfam family "Bacterial small subunit ribosomal RNA", at positions 355 to 776 of the family's 1533-position model. Lineage: Bacteria; Bacillati; Actinomycetota; Actinomycetes. The record is from RNAcentral.
UAGGGAAUCUUCCGCAAUGGGCGAAAGCCUGACGGAGCAACGCCGCGUGAGUGAUGAAGGUCUUCGGAUCGUAAAACUCUGUUAUUAUGGAAGAACAAAUGUGUAAGUAACUAUGCACGUCUUGACGGUACCUAAUCAGAAAGCCACGGCUAACUACGUGCCAGCAGCCGCGGUAAUACGUAGGUGGCAAGCGUUAUCCGGAAUUAUUGGGCGUAAAGCGCGCGUAGGCGGUUUUUUAAGUCUGAUGUGAAAGCCCACGGCUCAACCGUGGAGGGUCAUUGGAAACUGGAAAACUUGAGUGCAGAAGAGGAAAGUGGAAUUCCAUGUGUAGCGGUGAAAUGCGCAGAGAUAUGGAGGAACACCAGUGGCGAAGGCGACUUUCUGGUCUGUAACUGACGCUGAUGUGCGAAAGCGUGGGGAUCAAACAGG